CCGCAGAGACUGCGGAGGACAUUAUUGAGUUCCAAUCGGGUGAGAUUGUUGCUGGCCUCUUUGGCAUGUGCACGUCUCUCUCGUUUUCUUCUCACCUCUGUGCACUUUUCACAGGACAGGUGGUGGCUGUGGGGCCCUUGUGCCUUUUGGCUGCAGCUUGUUUUUGUGUGCUUCACAAACCUAUGAAUCAGUUUAGAAUGUCUCUUGUGUAUUGACACAUUUGAAAUACAACUUUCAGCAACGGAUCUCUUGGCUCUCGCAUCGAUGAAGAACGCAGCGAAAUGCGAUAAGUAAUGUGAAUUGCAGAAUUCAGUGAAUCAUCGAAUCUUUGAACGCACCUUGCGCUCCUUGGUAUUCCGAGGAGCAUGCCUGUUUGAGUGUCAUGGUAUUCUCAAUCCCUCUGGUUCUUGCUGGAGCGGCAUUGGAUUUGGAGGCUUUGCUGGAAUUUUUGAAAUAUCAGCUCCUCUCAAUUGCAUUAGUGUGAAUGUUUGCUUCAUGCUUGAUGUGAUAAUUAUCUGCAUCGUGCUUGGGCAGCGUGACUUCAUGCUUCAAACUGUCGCAAGACAAUUCUUUGACUUCUGACCUCAAAUCAGGUAGGACUACCCGCUGAACUUAAGCAUAUCAAUAAGCCGGAGGAAA
Molecule: ribosomal RNA, 639 nt
Filed under: Meripilus sulphureus
Lineage: Eukaryota; Fungi; Basidiomycota; Agaricomycetes; Polyporales; Meripilaceae
Description: eukaryotic LSU rRNA
Rfam family: 5.8S ribosomal RNA (bases 230-383)
Source: RNAcentral